Molecule: non-coding RNA, 906 nt
Organism: Biomphalaria pfeifferi
Lineage: Eukaryota; Metazoa; Mollusca; Gastropoda; Planorbidae
Source: the annotation of a GenBank genome assembly
CCCCCCCCCCCCCACUCCAUGAGUAAUUCAUAAAAUAAAAUGAAUGUAAAUAAAUGAUCACAUGAGUUAUUUCUCAGAGAAAAUGCUUUCAAAUAAUAAGAGUUAAAAUAGAUUACCAGUUAAGUAAGAAAUUAAGUUUCCCUUUUCCCCCCCCCCCCAAAAAAAACAAACAAACCUGAUGUGUUUGUAUGUUAUUAGCCUCACAGGAGAAAAUAGUUUUUUUAUAUUAAGAGGGACCACGAUAGACUCAUUUAAACUAACAUUGUGAUUAGUUUUUAGGCUUUAUUAUGCAAAUUAUAUACACUUUGUAUCUAAAUAUUUAUGCAUAAUAAAUUUUGGUCAGUAGUCUUGCUUAAUAACAUCAUAUGUUUAUACUUGAUUAAUUAUGAUAAGACAAAUUAAAGAUAGAAUCAUUAAUUUUUGCUUAAGGCUGUAGCUGUACUGCAAAGUAUUUAAAUAAGAUGCAAAACAAAAUCUAGAUUUAUUUUGAAUGUAAAUAAUAGAUUCUCUUACACUGUCAAGGGUAUCAAAUAAACAACAGAUGAAAAUGAAAAAUGUAUUGAUUAAAAAUAAAAUUCAAAACAUGAAUUCUGCUUUUGAAUACUAUAAUAAUAAUGAUGGCAUUUUUACCUAUCCUUUAGUCUUUGGGAACUACUCCUGGCAGAAUAAAGAUAAAAUUGAACUUACAAAAUGAAUUUCUUUUACAAUAGCGUAAUGAAAUUACAGCUUUAUCUCUAUGAAAAUUAGAUAUUUUUCUUUUCUUUUAAAUAUAUCACGUAUUGAUCUUAAACAUUUCUUUGAAUAAUAUUCUAUGUUAAAAUUCAGCUAGACUUUACAAUAAAGUAAUUGUAAGAGUUUUUCACAAUUGUAAAUUAUUAAUUUUUUUUUAUGCAAAACAUUUCAUUU